GGGCCCGCACAAGCGGUGGAGCAUGUGGUUUAAUUCGAUGAUACGCGAGGAACCUUACCAGGGCUUAAAUGUAGUCUGACAGGGGUGGAAACACCCCCUCCUUCGGGCAGAUUACAAGGUGCUGCAUGGUUGUCGUCAGCUCGUGCCGUGAGGUGUCAGGUUAAGUCCUAUAACGAGCGCAACCCCUGCCGUUAGUUGCCAGCAUGUAAUGAUGGGAACUCUAACGGGACUGCCGGUGCAAACCGCGAGGAAGGUGGGGAUGACGUCAAAUCAUCACGGCCCUUACGUCCUGGGCUACACACGUACUACAAUGCCCAGUACAAUGUGAACCGAUACCGUAAGGUGGAGGAAAUCCUUAAAACUGGGCUCAGUUCGGAUUGUGGGCUGCAACUCGCCCCACAUGAAGCUGGAAUCGCUAGUAAUGGCACAUC
This 431-nucleotide ribosomal RNA is filed under the name uncultured bacterium. Its description in RNAcentral is "bacterial SSU rRNA". It matches the Rfam family "Bacterial small subunit ribosomal RNA", at positions 917 to 1350 of the family's 1533-position model. The record is from RNAcentral.